AUACCAUGCGGAAUACGCCAGUUCUCGUUUGAUCACCGAAGUCAAGCAUUAUCGGGCGCGGUCAAUACUUGGGAUAGUGAUCAACUAAGAACACGCCGCG
Caerostris extrusa is the source of this 100-nucleotide non-coding RNA. NCBI's taxonomy places the organism in Eukaryota, Metazoa, Arthropoda, Arachnida, Araneae, Araneidae. The record is from the annotation of a GenBank genome assembly.